RNAcentral lists this ribosomal RNA (604 nucleotides) under Ovobathysciola gestroi. RNAcentral's name for it is "SSU rRNA". It matches the Rfam family "Eukaryotic small subunit ribosomal RNA", at positions 22 to 602 of the family's 1831-position model. The record is from RNAcentral. Lineage: Eukaryota; Metazoa; Arthropoda; Insecta; Coleoptera; Leiodidae. RNAcentral also lists the same sequence under 6 other names.
AGUCAUAUGCUUGUCUCAAAGAUUAAGCCAUGCAUGUCUCAGUACAAGCCAAAUUAAGGUGAAACCGCGAAAGGCUCAUUAAAUCAGUUAUGGUUCCUUAGAUCGUACCCACAUUUACUUGGAUAACUGUGGUAAUUCUAGAGCUAAUACAUGCCAACAGAACUCCGACCGGAGACGGAAGGAGUGCCUUUAUUAGAUCAAAACCAAUCGGUGGCGCGGCCUCGGUCGUGCCAUCGUACAACAUGGUGAAUCUGAAUAACGUUUGCUGAUCGCACGGUCUCGCACCGGCGACGCAUCUUUCAAAUGUCUGCCUUAUCAACUGUCGAUGGUAGGUUCUGCGCCUACCAUGGUUGUAACGGGUAACGGGGAAUCAGGGUUCGAUUCCGGAGAGGGAGCCUGAGAAACGGCUACCACAUCCAAGGAAGGCAGCAGGCGCGCAAAUUACCCACUCCCGGCACGGGGAGGUAGUGACGAAAAAUAACGAUACGGGACUCAUCCGAGGCCCCGUAAUCGGAAUGAGCACACUUUAAAUCCUUUCACGAGGAUCAAUCGGAGGGCAAGUCAGGUGCCAGCAGCCGCGGUAAUUCCUGCUCCGAUAGCGUAU